RNAcentral lists this ribosomal RNA (105 nucleotides) under Clytia hemisphaerica. Lineage: Eukaryota; Metazoa; Cnidaria; Hydrozoa; Leptothecata; Clytiidae. The record is from RNAcentral.
CUUCACGUCCAUACCAGGAUGAAAGCACCUGUUCUCGUCAGAUCACGGAAGUUAAGCAUAGUACUUGGAUGGGGGACCCCCUGGGAACUCCCGGUGCCGUGGAGC